CCUGCGGAAGGAUCAUUGCCGAUGCCUCAACACAGAGAGACCCGCGGACCCGUUUUGCCACCGGGGACGGUCGGAGCCGCCCAGCAGCCCGCCCGCCCCAAAUGUCGGGACCGAGCCACGCCCCGGCGCAAUAACAACAAACCCCGGCGCGGAACGCGCCAAGGAAGCAACAAUCGCAGGGCGCGCCCCCGUCGGCCCGGCAACGGUGCCCGUACGGGCGACGCCGCAACACUCGAGUCCAAAACGACUCUCGGCAACGGAUAUCUCGGCUCUUGCAUCGAUGAAGAACGUAGCGAAAUGCGAUACUUGGUGUGAAUUGCAGAAUCCCGUGAACCAUCGAGUCUUUGAACGCAAGUUGCGCCCGAAGCCAUUAGGCUAAGGGCACGCCUGCCUGGGUGUCACCAAUCGCUGCCCCCCCAACCCCCUGUGCCCGUGGCCAGGGAGCGGGGCGAAUGCUGGCCUCCCGUGAGCACCGCCUCGCGGUUGGCUGAAAAACGGGCCCGUGGUGGAUUCAGCGCCACGACAGACGGUGGUUGAGCGUGCUCUCUAGGCCAGUCGUGCGUGCGACCCCCACCAGUUCCGCGCCCAGCGACCCGCGGGCGACGACCCACGACGCGACCUCAGGUCAGGCGGGGCUACCCGCUGAGUUUAAGC
This 654-nucleotide ribosomal RNA is filed under the name Dalbergia volubilis. RNAcentral's name for it is "eukaryotic LSU rRNA". The stretch from base 246 to 401 matches the Rfam family "5.8S ribosomal RNA". Lineage: Eukaryota; Viridiplantae; Streptophyta; Magnoliopsida; Fabales; Fabaceae. The record is from RNAcentral.